GCUUCUGAUUGGGACCUGUCAAAAUUUGACAAAAGGUGGUUUAUAUUACUCUCUGUAAAGGCUAUAAGACCAUCUCCAAGCAGCUUGAUGUUCCUGUGACUACAGUUGCACAUAUUAUUCAGAAAUGUAAGAUCCACGGGGCUGUAGCCAACCUCCCUGGACGUUGCCGCAGGAGGAAAGUUGAUGACAAAUGGAAGGCAUGGAUAAUAUGAAUGGUAACAAAAGAGCCCAGAACAACCUCUAAAGACGUUAAAGGUGAACUCCAAGGUCAAGGUACAUCAGUGUCAGAUCCGUCGUCGUUUGAGCCAAAGUGGACUUCAUGGGAGACGACCAAGGAGGACACCACUGUUGAAAACAAAUCAUAAAAAAGCCAGGCUGGAAUUUGCCAAACUGCAUGUUGACAAGCCAUGAAGCUUCUGGGAGAAUGUCCUAUGGACAGACGAGACAAAACUGGAACUUUUUGGCAAUGCACAUCAGCUCUAUGUUCACAGACGCAAAAAUGAAGCAUAUUAAGAAAAGAACACUGUCCCUACUGUGAAACAUGGAGGAGGCUCUGUUAUGUUCUGGGGCUGCUUUACUGCAUCUGGUACAGGGUGUCUUGAAUCUGUGCAGGGUAAAAUGAAAUCUCAUGACUAUCAAGGUAUUCUAGAGAGAAAUGUGCUGCCCAGUGUCAGAAAGCUUGGUCUCAGUCGCAGGUCAUGGGUCUUGCAACAGGAUAAUGACCCAAAACACACAGCUAAAAACAGCCAAGAAUGGCUAAGAGGAAAACAUUGGACUAUUCUGAAGUGGCCUCCUAUGAGCCCUGAUCUAAAUCCUAUUGAACAUCUGUGGAAGGAGCUGAAACAUGCCGUCUGGAGAAGGAACCCUUCAAUCCUGAGACAACUGGAGCAGUCUGCUCAUGAGGAGUGGACCAGAAUACCUGCUGAGAGUGGGAACCACCUUCACCCCACAAUGCUGCACAGCGGAAAAGCCCAACCAGAUGAGGCAGAUGGCCGCCCUCCCUGAGUCUGGGUCUGCCAUAGGAUUUUUCCUAUUAAAAGGUAGUUUUUCAUAUCCACUUUAGUCAAUUGCUGGAAAUUGUGUUUCUCUCCAUAAUGUAAAAUCUUGACCUUACUAUGUAAAGUUUCCUGAGAUGACUUAUACUUUGGUGGUAUACAAAUAAAAUGGAACUGAGGAUGGGAAAUAUAAAAAAUAAUAAGUCAUCGUCAAGUUAACCUUGAGCAUUAAAAUGUUAUAUUCAAAGUGACUCUAACCUUGGUGAUCAUUUCAAAUGAAUAAAUACAGACUACAGUCAACUGAGCACCCCACAGCAUGAUCACAUAGAUACUGUGCCUGAUCCAUAUCUAUCAGUGUUAUAAUUCACAUAAAAAAAACUUGUUUUUUCCAUCAUACCAGGAAUAGCAGUAUGAGAAUAAAAAACUUUUCAACAGGAAUUGACAGCUGAUAAAGCUGAAAAUGACUGCAUAAUUAGCAUUCGUAGUUUAAAAGCAUCAUUCAUGGUUACUUUUAGUGUUUUAAUUUAUAGGAUUUAUGUACAUUCAAUCUGCCGCAUGAGGAAACAAAAAUCAGACCGUAGUGUUCCAAUCAAUUCCAAAGUUGCAAAGCAGAACUUUUUAAGACAGCUAAUGUUUUCAGGGUGUGUUACUAUCCAUGACCUUAAAUAUAAUGAGCUGCUAGCAGUAGAACAGUACAACAGCAUUAUUUGAAUUACUCCACAAGUGUCCUUCUGAGCUAGUAUUCAUAUUGUCUCUGUGUGUUAAUCUUUAUGGCCUCUGUCCUGACUCAAGUGUUGUUCAGCAGUAGACUGACCAGUAGAUAAGGUUGAAAAAGAUGUAUGAACCAGGGAAAAUCAUUCGGGAGUAUUUGUCAAUAGCGUGCGUGUUCUGAAUAAUGUUGAGGGCACGCAGGCUCUUCUUCUUCUUGGUAGUGGUGGACUCACUACUCACUGACAGGUGGACCACCAUGUGUCCAGGUUUCUCUGGAACCUCAGGUAUUUCUUCCUGCUCUUCUUCAGGCACCAUGGGCUCUUCAGUGUAGCCAGCCAGGCUGUUGGUGUCAGCCUCGCUGUAGGUACCAUCCAACAUGGCCAUGGUCCGUGUUUGAGAGAUGCCACAGGUGCAGGGCAAUGACUGGGAGAAAGAAAUACACAGAAAUGUUAUGUGUAGCAUCAGCAUAAGCAAAACAUUUCUACUUGGCUCCAUGGCAGGGCUUAUAACAAGUUGGAUUUCUAUGAAAUUAGUUGUAGAUGUUCAAAGUCCUGAGAAGAUGGCAUGUGUUGAUUUUGACCCACUGGUCUUUCCUGUGGAGCUGUAAGACAAUGAUUUGAUGUAAUGCAAUGCAACUUCACUGCCCAUGGAGGGUUAUCCACUGUAACUGUGGUGACCUCUUAGUUUAUAGUUUAACACCACAAUUAGGUCAACAUUUACUGUUAACAAAUGGUCAAAAAAUUAUUGGGCUCCUAUGAAACAUUCUGUGGAUAUACAUGUUCCCCACAGGAUCUGUUUUUCUGAUGGUCCUGCAAAGCAGCAAGUCUUUGCAACUUUUGGCAUUUGAGUCUUUAAAACCAUUGCACAAGUACUGUAUGUAACAAAACUAGUAAAUCCAACACUGCUAAACUGCUAAAUGAUUGCAAAUCCUGUCCAUGUAAUGAUAUUGUAUUUACCUUUUCCUGGGCCAAAGAAAAAUAAAGCUUUGUUUGACUAUUUAAACUAUAAGAAGGGGUCUAUUUUAGGAACCAGCUGAAGAAGAGCAUAAAUACAUGACUGUUGCAAUAUGUUUGGAUCAGUUUGGACCGAAAUGCAGAACAAGGAUUACUUGUGACGAAAGACAGAUUUAUUUAGCAAAUUUUUUUAAAGGAAGCAGGGGCAGCUGAGGACUGGCUGUCUGGUGAUGAGUAACUGGAGAACAUGUGAACUGUCUGACGGUAAACUGAGGGCUGAGAAGCCAGCAACAAGGCACACAAGAGGAUCUACACGAGAACACAUAUAGCUGAAUACGUUAGGUUCCCAUGGCAACAUGAUGUAUACAGUGUGCAACACUAAUUGCACCACCUACAUCUGUCAUGCGAACUAAACUGUAAAACCAUUUCUAUAGUAAUUAACAUUUAAAGAACAAUUCACAGAUACUGUUUUGAUUUGGGGGCUGCACAGUGGCGUAGUGGUUAGCACUUUCGCCUUGCAGCGAGAAGAUCCCUGGUUCACGUCCCGGCUUUCCCCGGAUCUUUCUGCAUGGAGUUUGCAUGUUCUCCCUGUGCAUGCGUGGGUUUUCUCCGGGUACUCCGGCUUCCUCCCACAGUCCAAAAAUAUGCUGAGGUUAAUCGAUUACUCUAAAUUGCCCGUAGGUGUGAAUGUGAGAGUGCUUGUUUGUCUGUAUAUGUAGCCCUGCGACAGACUGGCGACCUGUCUAGGGUGUCCCCUGCCUUCGCCCGAGUCAGCUGGGAUAGGCUCCAGCACCCCCCGCGACCCUAGUGAGGAUUAAGCAGUGUAUAGAUAAUGGAUGGAUGGAUGGAUGUUUUGAUUUGUGCAGUUUUCAUUUUGGUUCCAUAACAAAUAUGCUGGUUGCUGCUGUUCUGGUGUUUUUGUUCAUCAAAACUUCUGACUAAAAACAUUUGCACGCUGCUGUUGAAAAUGAGGUUAAUGAGAGCUGAAAGACUGUAGUAGUAAAGCUGUGCACAGCAAAACCUAACCACUGAGUUGAAAGAAGCUUAAAAUGCUGUGUAGAGCUAAGCAGAACUGCAAAAUUUAUGAUCUCUGUGGUUUCCUAACUAUGAGUGACACAUAGAUAUUUGACGAGUUUUUGUAAAACAUUGAUAGCAUGUUCUUAAAAUAAAAAUAACGUUUUCUGGACAUGGAAUAUGCUUGCAGAAGGAAUUUUAUAAUUUCAUCAUUUGUCAUACUAUUCCUGUGAUAUAUUUAAAGAAAACUAACUUAAACCUAAUGCAGACACAACAAGCAAAUGUUGUAUCUCUAAUUAGCAUUAUUUUAUUUAAUGCUACAAGCACAAUCUUCUUUUAAACACUAAAACUAGAAAUCACAGUCCUGAAGCAUCACUAUUCAGUCAUGAAAAACCUGUAAAAGUCUGGGGAAAUUGCUAAAAAUGUCAAAAGCAGAUGUGCUCAUCAGUAUAAAAAAAAAACAAAUCAGAUUUUUUAGUUUUAUUUUAAAAAGCAUAUAAUAAUAAGGCUGAUGCAAAAAAAUUAUGUAAAAAUUUUCAACUGUAUGUGAGCAUAUGUGAGUGCAGUUAACUACAAUAUGUUUGAUUACAUUUGAUAACAAACAUAUCAAUUGUGGGUAGCAAAAUCUGCAAAAUGAUAACUUGAGGUGAAAUCUGUAUGCUUCCACUAAAUAUGGAUAAGAAUAACAUUGAUUUGUCUCUGAUAAAUGGACUGUGGUUAGUUUUUAAAGUACAGCAUAUCAAGUGCACCAAAUAUUUGGUCAUACAAAGAAAUGAAAAAGAGACCCAGUAGCCAAAAUGUGUAUAAACCAUGGCACCGACUGGAGAAAAUUCUAGCUAUUUGGCCCAUUAAAACUUGCUGAGUGAGCUUUAAUUAAGUGGGCAUAGUUUUAUUUUGUUAUUUUGCUUUUAUUCUUUUGCAUGUUGAGGGUUAAAACCAGAAAAAGGUUGAGUGGGCUAAUUGUUUCAAACCAAACAGCUGAAGGUCUUUCAUCAGAUGUUGAAUUUUCUUUCUCAACAUGUUGGUUACAGACACUGAUGGUUCUUGCCCUUUGUUUCAACAUUUGUUUCACUGAUGCUCCUGCUUCGCCCUGAAAGACACUCUGUGAGUGAAACUGCACAGAGUCAACAAGGAUGUUUUUGGAGUCUGAAGAGUUGAGUUUAUGAGCAGAGACAAUGAUGCUUUUUUUUUUUUUUUUUUUUUAAAUAUUUUUUUUGUCUCAAAACACCAAACAGCAUUUAGUAAGAUCAAACCUGAGAUCGUGCCCUCUCUCUCAUCUUGCGCUCCCGACGGUCCUGAACAGUGGACAGGUAGUUGACAGCAGCGUAUUCCAACACAGACAAGAAGACAAAGACAAAGCUAACCCAGAGGUAAAUGUCUACCGCCUUGAUGUAGGACACUCGUGGCAUGGACGCAUUCACUCCAGUGAUGAUAGUGGACAUGGUCAGCACUGUAGUAAUGCCUAGACACAAAAUACACAAUGCUCUAGUUAGUCUGUGGUGAGCUGCAUGUUAAGCAUAUGAUUGUGUCUCAGUAUUUAUUUCAGUAUCGGAAAUUUACAUCCUGUCUUGAGUCACGGAGCUGACUCAGUUUUGGGUAACUCUGGUUCAAGAUGGUGAAAGUAGUAUGUCCAUUUAUACAAUAUGAUGCAAUGCUGUUAAAUAGCCCUGCAAUAAAUCAACCCCCUGAGAAGCUCCCAGUCAGUCAUGGUUGCAACACCUUUAAAGCACCUAGUUUCUAUGCAGUUUAUCCAUAUUUCAGUCCUCUAAAUCUACAUGGUAAAACAUAGUGGGUGAAAUACUGCUGAAACACCAGUUAUGCUGAUUGUAUGAUCUAUGAUUCUAUUAGUAUCUCAAUAUCUCAAUUAGUAUCUCCGUUUAAUUCUGCCCUUAUACUGAAUAGCUUAGUAAAUGGACUUUGUGAAUACUGGUAUUACUGUUUUUGGAAGCAAAUGUGAUAAAAGCUGUCAAAUGUCUACACUAGAAAAUAAGAAGUGUCAUGUUUGACAUGUUGAUAUGCAUCCCUUAUCCACAAGGCCAGUAUGGGAGGGUGGGCCAGAAGGCAGACGAGGAAAACAACAAUAAAAUGCAGAGAGAAAACAUUUGACUAAACAUAUUUGGGUUUUUUUAGCCUUGUGAAAAAUUCCUCCAUAACAGCUUUAAUAAGAGUGAGAGGUUGAGCUAAGACAGGACCUCAAUAAGGGGGAAAACAGAUACCUGUUACGGCAUGUAUAGCAAUAGCCUAAAUCCAGAAGAUAGUUCAAAAAAAGAGUAAGAGUUGUAGAGUGUGGGAGGUUUGUGUGAUCACACAUGCAUGUGUAUAUUCCCUAUGUGAAGCCAUGUCACAGCCAGCCUUCAUCAUUUCACACAGACAGAUUUUCUUUAGGGCACACUGAGACUCUUCAAAGGAAAUGACAUGAAUUUUUUAAAUGUAAUUAUUAGUAUUCUUUUUUUACCCAAGGAAACUCUGGCUGGCACAGCCCGCCGGUCAAUCCAGAACGACACCCAUGAAAGCAUCACCAUGAGAGUGGCAGGAAAGUACGUCUGCAGCAGGAAGAAGAAGAUGUGCCGUCGCAAUGUAAAGUUGAUGUAAAGACGAUUAUACCAGCCUGCAAACACAAGACACCUGCUCAGAUGAGGGGGAACACUAAAGCUUCAAUACUGUAGACACUGUUAACAAAAAACAUCCAAAUUUUACAUGAAGUGUUAUUAGUAAAUGUCAAUUCUUUGCUCUCCCUAAAAGUUGCUGUACCAAAAUUUGUGACCUUUGAUCUCUAUUAUCAAAAAUAUGUACAUAAUAGCUUCUUAUACUUGCCCUGUCUGGUGGAACCCCAGAGAAGAUACUAAAUUGCUGUUGUCUCUCAACAUCACAGAGCAUUUGUUGUCUUUGCCCCUAAACUUUGGAAUAGUUUACUUACGCAAGACUUGCACCGGCAUGGCAAGCUAUUUUAACAUUUAUCGUCUGAGCUUGAUUUGAUUAUUGUUAUUAAAAUUACAGAUAUUAAAAUGGCAAUUUGAUAAUUGUAACUGCUCUCUAACUAGUCAGAAUUUUUAUUCCAGAUAUCCGUAACUUCAGUCUGACAAGUCAAAGCAACAUUUAAAUAAUCUGACAUUCAGCUUUGACUCAGCAUAAUAAUGGAUGCAGAUAUCUGUAAUGUCAUUAUGUUUGCUCUGAUUGCUGUGUUCAUGAGAGGUCUUCUAUUGGUAACUGGUCCAGCAAGACAUCUGAGCAGUGUUAGCAGUAGCAGUGGUAACUGCUGGGGUAGAUAAGACUUUUUAAAAAAGUAGGAAGAGGUCUUCAGCAAAGAGUUUGUAGAGAGAAGAGCUUUAUUUAUUCUACAUUUGUGAUCAAAAUUUGCUACAACGUUGGCCUCUGGCUGUUCUGACAUGAUGGUAAAACUGCUACCACAUGCAGUUACAACUGGAGUGCCAUAGUAUGUUUGAAAAGCCAGCUCAUUCCCUCUGCUGCCUUCUCUCUUGCACCACUUUCAGUGAUCAACCUUACCACCAGAGGCCUAUGCUUUGAAGCAGGAUUUGAGGUUACCGAGGUAACUUCAAAUGAACAGUGGUUCAGUUCUUACCGAGGUGAAUCACCAUGGUAACUCAUGCUGAACACAUAAUCUGAUCUGAAACAGAUUAUGUUCCAGAUUACAGAUCAACAUGCAUCAGCAUUCCUGGAAGAUCACACAGGGCUCAGUGCACAAAUAGUGACAGGGGACGACAAGCCUACAGCCUUGGUCUUGUUGAUCUUACAACUUUGCAAUAAGCCCAUUGUACUGGAAUCAGCUCUCAGUUUCCUUUUGUAUGUUCUGUAGUACCACCUGGUGGUAGCGGCACUUUAACAGCACUGAAAAGGAAGUGUGCUAAUGGAAACAGGAAGUACUAUUCCGGAAGUUCUUGUCAAAGUGAUGUAAUCAGAUUGAUAAUCACAGAGCAUCAAUCCUCUUAAUCCUGUGCUUUAAAGUUGAAAAACCAGAUUCAUUCUUAAGGGAUCAGCUAUUUACAACUACAUUAACACGUUUCUGUUACGGUUUCUCAGGUUAAGUACAAUAUGUUUGAUGAUGAUGAUUAGCUUUAGUAAACCUCAAAUGGAUGCAUUAGUACUUGGUAGUUUGAAGACAGGUGUGCAAUGUAAAUAGCAUUUACUGUUAUAUCUUCAUCUUUUAUGUUCCUGGACCUGGAUCCUGCUCUAGCUCCUGGCCUACUUUCUCUUUCUUCCAAUUUUCUUUCUUCUCCCUUCUUCCUCCUGUCUUUGUCAUCUGUCUCUUUUGUGUUUCUCUCUGUUUGUCAUCUCUCUCCCUGUUGUCUCUCUCUCCUUGUCUUGUCCCUCUGGCUCCCUCUGUUAGCGUCUGUCUGUGUGCCUCCCUUGUCUCACUCACCUGCCUGCACUUUACUGAUUGCUGUAAUGCACAUCAGCUGCAGUAAUUAGUUCACUCUGUUCACCUGUUCUCCACUUCACCUCCACCUAUUUAAGCUCUAUGCAUUCACUCAGUCCCCUUCAGAUCAUUGAUUCUGUUGCCCUCCUGGAUUCUGUUUCUGCUCACCAAGCCUGCCACCUCUGGACUGCUUCAGCCCCAUGGACUCUGCUGCUCUCCCCCCUCCUGGAUUUCCCCCUUCUUGGUUUCCGUUUGCUCUGACCUAUUCAUGGAUUUCCCCCCGCCUGUUUUCCCCCUCGGUUGUCGGUUUCCCCAUCUCGUGAGUACCCCUACCCAGCUUAGUUUUAAUUCAGUUCAGUUUUGUAAACUUCUGUUUUUGUAUUCAUAGAGUUAGUAGAGUUUUAGUAGUUGGUGUAGUUCUGUUCCCCCAGUUCAGUUCCCCAUUAAUGUAUUGGUUCAGUUGUUGGUUAAAUAAAUCUCUUUCUGUUAUUCA
Amphiprion ocellaris (clown anemonefish) is the source of this 8541-nucleotide long non-coding RNA. RefSeq lists it as uncharacterized. NCBI's taxonomy places the organism in Eukaryota, Metazoa, Chordata, Actinopteri, Pomacentridae. The record is from RefSeq and is a predicted model, not a curated record. The transcript is spliced from 3 exons.